GAUGAACGCUGGCGGCGUGCCUAAUACAUGCCAGUCGAGCGAACAGACGAGGAGCUUGCUCCUCUGACGUUAGCGGCGGACGGGUGAGUAACACGUGGAUAACCUACCUAUAAGACUGGGAUAACUUCGGGAAACCGGAGCUAAUACCGGAUAAUAUAUUGAACCGCAUGGUUCAAUAGUGAAAGACGGUUUUGCUGUCACUUAUAGAUGGAUCCGCGCCGCAUUAGCUAGUUGGUAAGGUAACGGCUUACCAAGGCAACGAUGCGUAGCCGACCUGAGAGGGUGAUCGGCCACACUGGAACUGAGACACGGUCCAGACUCCUACGGGAGGCAGCAGUAGGGAAUCUUCCGCAAUGGGCGAAAGCCUGACGGAGCAACGCCGCGUGAGUGAUGAAGGUCUUCGGAUCGUAAAACUCUGUAAUUAGGGAAGAACAAAUGUGUAAGUAACUAUGCACGUCUUGACGGUACCUAAUCAGAAAGCCACGGCUAACUACGUG
This 497-nucleotide ribosomal RNA is filed under the name uncultured bacterium. RNAcentral describes it as "partial 16S ribosomal RNA". It matches the Rfam family "Bacterial small subunit ribosomal RNA", at positions 28 to 507 of the family's 1533-position model. The record is from RNAcentral.